Galleria mellonella (greater wax moth) is the source of this 271-nucleotide long non-coding RNA. RefSeq lists it as uncharacterized. The transcript has 3 exons. NCBI's taxonomy places the organism in Eukaryota, Metazoa, Arthropoda, Insecta, Lepidoptera, Pyralidae. The record is from RefSeq and is a predicted model, not a curated record.
CGGAUAAUGUGCGUGCACGCCGCGCGGGUGACAGCGCCGGCGCAUGCGAGCCUCAUUACUACAGUAAUUAAUGUUAUUAUAAUAUAACCAUUAUUAUUGUACACAUUAGUGUAAAUAUUGAGAAUACCCGAGAACAUCAGUUUACACUGCUUUUUCGCUGCGCUGCGAUAACUUAUUCUAGCUUGAUUAUAGAAGUUCACCACCACCCGCUGCCUCCGCCGACGCCGUAGCCGCCACCGUACGAGGCGACUGCGGGCGCGGCGUAGCUGGC